UUCAGAGACUAAGCGAAAGUGAUAAGUUAGCCACCUGGGGAGUACGAACGCAAGUUUGAAACUCAAAGGAAUUGACGGGGGCCCGCACAAGCGGUGGAUUAUGUGGUUUAAUUCGAUGAUACGCGAGGAACCUUACCAAGGCUUAAAUGGGAAUUGAUCGGUUUAGAAAUAGACCUUCCUUCGGGCAAUUUUCAAGGUGCUGCAUGGUUGUCGUCAGCUCGUGCCGUGAGGUGUUAGGUUAAGUCCUGCAACGAGCGCAACCCCUGUCACUAGUUGCCAUCAUUAAGUUGGGGACUCUAGUGAGACUGCCUACGCAAGUAGAGAGGAAGGUGGGGAUGACGUCAAAUCAUCACGGCCCUUACGCCUUGGGCCACACACGUAAUACAAUGGCCGGUACAGAGGGCAGCUACACAGCGAUGUGAUGCAAAUCUCGAAAGCCGGUCUCAGUUCGGAUUGGAGUCUGCAACUCGACUCUAUGAAGCUGGAAUCGCUAGUAAUCGCGCAUCAGCCAUGGCGCGGUGAAUACGUUCCCGGGCCUUGUACACACCGCCCGUCAAGCCAUGGAAGUCUGGGGUACCUGAAGUCGGUGACCGUAAAAGGAGCUGCCUAGGGUAAAACAGGUAACUAGGGCUAAGUCGUAACAAGGUAGCCGUA
RNAcentral lists this ribosomal RNA (654 nucleotides) under uncultured Flavobacterium sp. RNAcentral describes it as "bacterial SSU rRNA". It matches the Rfam family "Bacterial small subunit ribosomal RNA", at positions 839 to 1504 of the family's 1533-position model. Lineage: Bacteria; Pseudomonadati; Bacteroidota; Flavobacteriia; Flavobacteriales; Flavobacteriaceae. The record is from RNAcentral.